RNAcentral lists this long non-coding RNA (249 nucleotides) under Brassica napus (rape). RNAcentral's name for it is "long non-coding RNA (BNAP_LNC023523)". Lineage: Eukaryota; Viridiplantae; Streptophyta; Magnoliopsida; Brassicales; Brassicaceae. The record is from RNAcentral.
AAAAAAACAUUAUUCUGUAAACCCAAACCUGAUUUCUUUUCAGGGAUUUAUAUGAAUGUCACAACAUCGUAAGAAUAACUAUAAACCGUAGAACUGAAACUCUAAACCCUAAAUACUAAACCCUAAACCCUAGAUACUAAAUCCUAAACUCUAGUGUAAAUCUUAAACUUUUGGGUAAACCAUAAACUCUUGGGUACACUAUAAACCCUAGCGUUUAUGAUUUAUCCAAAGAUUUAGGAUUAAAAACAG